RNAcentral lists this ribosomal RNA (1383 nucleotides) under Bacaniomorphus sp. NLG-2014. RNAcentral describes it as "partial 16S ribosomal RNA". The stretch from base 1 to 391 matches the Rfam family "Microsporidia small subunit ribosomal RNA", at positions 766 to 1311 of the family's 1311-position model. Lineage: Eukaryota; Metazoa; Arthropoda; Insecta; Coleoptera; Histeridae. The record is from RNAcentral.
UAUUCUUGAAAAUUAAAGAUUUUGGCGGUAUUUUAGUCUUUUCAGAGGAUUCUGUUCCGUAAUUGAUAAUCCACGGUUAAAAAUUACUUGAAUUUGAGGUUUGUAUAUCGUCGUUAAAUGAAAAUUCUAUAAGGAUAAAAUUUUCUUGGUGUAUAUUUUACAGUAUAUCAGAUCAAGGUGCAGUUGAUGUUCAAGAGGAAAUGGAUUACAUUGAUUUUAUAAUUGGAUUUGUCGUUUGAAGGGUAUAAUGAAAUUGGAUUUGAUAGUAAUUAGAGGCUUAUACCUUUAAUGAUUUUGGCUCUAAAAUAUGUACAUAUCGCCCGUCGCUUUCAUUUAAAUUGAAAUAAGUCGUAACAAAGUAGGUGUACUGGAAAGUGUAUCUGGAAAGGCAAAUCAGAGCUUGUUUGAGUAUCUUAUUUACAUUAAGAAGGAAGUUGAUAACUAACUUGAUGAAUACAAAAAUUUUUUAAUUUGUAUUUUUAGAUUUAUAAUUGAAGUAUCAUAGGUUUAGUAUUAUUUAGAAAAAUUUUGUUUUAAUAUAGUUGAUUAGUAUAGUAAUAGAAAGUUUUUAAAUAUUUGUAAGUAUUUUUUAUUUAGAGUACCUUGUGUAUUAGGGUUUAUUAAUAAUUUCUGUAGAAUAAUGGUUUCUCGAACUUAAGAGGGCAAAAUUAAUAUUGAUUAUACUGUUGAAUAAGUAUAUUAAAUAUUUAUUUAGUAAUGAAAUGUUAUUCGUUCUUUAGUAUAUCUGGUUAUUCAAGAAAUAAUUUUAAAUUAGCAAUUUCUAUAAUAUUCUUAUAUGUUUAAAGUUUAUUUAUGAAUUUUGUUAAAUUAAAUGGGAUAAGCUGUUUAUUUAAUUGGUAAAAUUAUUUUUAUUAAGGUAUCUCCUUAGGAUUAGAAAUGUCUAUAUAUUUAAUUUUGUUAUAGUAAAUUUACUUAUUAAUUAAAUUUAUGUAUUUUUACAUAUUUUAUUGAAUGGAUUUAUUUAUUAGAAAAAUAGAUUUUAUAAUGAUUAAAUUAGUAUAAUGUUUAGUAUAUAUAAAUUUUUAUUUUAGAUUAUAAUAAGGAAUUCGGCAAAAAUUUUCUCGCCUGUUUAUUAAAAACAUGUCUUUAAGAAUAUAAUUUAAAGUCUGACCUGCCCACUGAGGUAUUGAAGGGCUGCGGUAUUUUGACCGUACAAAGGUAGCAUAAUCAUUAGUUUUUUUAUUGAAAGCUGGAAUGAAGGGUUGGACGAGGAAAAAUCUGUCUCUUUUUAAUUUGAUUAAAAUUUAAUUUUUAAGUUAAAAAGCUUAAAUAUGUUUGAAGGACGAGAAGACCCUAUAGAGUUUGACUUUAUAAAUUUAUUAUUAUUUUUAGGAUUAUUUUUAUAUUAAUAUUGUAUAAGUU